CGGAUUGACUGGGCGUAAAGCGCUCGCAGGCGGAUGCGCGCGUGGGGUGUGAAAUCUGGCCGCUUAACGGCCAGGCGCCAUCCCAUACGGCGCGUCUGGAGUGAUGCAGAGGUCGGUGGAAUUGCCGGUGUAGUGGUGAAAUGCGUAGAGAUCGGCAGGAACACCCAGGGGGAAACCAGCCGACUGGGCAUCUACUGACGCUGAGGUGCGAGAGCGUGGGGAGCGAACCGG
Molecule: ribosomal RNA, 231 nt
Filed under: uncultured bacterium
Lineage: Bacteria
Description: partial 16S ribosomal RNA
Rfam family: Bacterial small subunit ribosomal RNA
Source: RNAcentral